CCUGCUAGUGGAGAUGGAGUCGCCGGAGAGGACCAAAGCCAACUUGCUAGUUGUGGUAGUUUCACUUUCGCCCAGCCGCACUCCCGUAUGUGCGCCCGUGCUGCAGCGUCCUCCCAAUCCGGCAGCUCCGCUCGGCGGUUCGCCCGCUCUAGCAGCUCGACGCGGCCACGCCCCAGCGUCCUCCCAAUCCGGCAGCUCCGGCCGGCGGCGCCCCAACGUCCCUGGCUUCUACCCACUCUAGUAGCUCCUCAUCGCGGCGUCCGCGUGGCCUGCCUCUAGUAUUCCUGUUGGUGCGCGUGCGCCUCGCCCCCUGUCUUGAGGCUGUUUUUUUUGGAGUUCACUGGUUGGAAACAUGGUUUGAUUUUGGAUCUUUCUCUCUCACCUUCUGCUAUCUUCUGAGUUGAAUUUGAUUAUUAGAAACAUGGACAUCUCAAUCAGAUGCAUACAUCUUCGAUUCGAUAGUAUUUGUUUUGCCUUUGCUAGUUAGUUGACCAGAGGGGAGCCUUUGUCAGCGAGAUGUCUUGUUUGCGUAUGGAUUGUACGUCUGAGGAUGUAGGAUAUAUUUAGUUUGGGUGGGACUCUAACAAAGAGCGAAGCUUGAGCUGGAUAAAACCGUGAACGAUGUGGAGGAGCAGACGAAAGCGGAUGAGAGAGGAGAGGGCAGUAAAAAAAA
Molecule: long non-coding RNA, 673 nt
Organism: Sorghum bicolor (sorghum)
Lineage: Eukaryota; Viridiplantae; Streptophyta; Magnoliopsida; Poales; Poaceae
Exons: 2
Source: RefSeq, a predicted model, not a curated record